This 539-nucleotide ribosomal RNA is filed under the name uncultured Hymenobacter sp. RNAcentral's name for it is "bacterial SSU rRNA". It matches the Rfam family "Bacterial small subunit ribosomal RNA", at positions 96 to 633 of the family's 1533-position model. Lineage: Bacteria; Pseudomonadati; Bacteroidota; Cytophagia; Cytophagales; Hymenobacteraceae. The record is from RNAcentral.
UGGCGCACGGGUGCGUAACGCGUAACCAACCUACCCGGCACUGGGGGAUAGCCCGCCGAAAGGCGGAUUAAUACCGCAUGCGGCCAUCGACCGGCAUCGGUUGGUGGUGAAAGAUUUAUCGGUUUCGGAUGGGGUUGCGUGCCAUUAGCUGGUUGGGGGGGUAACGGCCCACCAAGGCGACGAUGGCUAGGGGAGCUGAGAGGCUGGUCCCCCACACGGGCACUGAGAUACGGGCCCGACUCCUACGGGAGGCAGCAGUAGGGAAUAUUGGGCAAUGGCCGAGAGGCUGACCCAGCCAUGCCGCGUGCAGGACGAAGGCUUUCUGAGUCGUAAACUGCUUUUGCCCGGGAAGAACACGGCGGACGCGUCCGCCACUGACGGUACCGGGUGAAUAAGCACCGGCUAACUCCGUGCCAGCAGCCGCGGUAAUACGGAGGGUGCAAGCGUUGUCCGGAUUUAUUGGGUUUAAAGGGUGCGUAGGCGGUCGGCUAAGUCCGGGGUGAAAGCCCGUUGCUCAACAACGGAACUGCCCCGGAAAC